CGGGUUGCCUCCCAUUCAGCGCUUAAUUUUUAUGUCUUUAGCUCGACUUCCUGAUUAAACUAAUUAUCAGGUUCAUACAGCACCAUGGGCGCUUUUGCUGGUGGUUUUGCCCAAUAAUGCUUAACUCGUUGGCCGUUAACUGUAAAUUCCUGGCCUUUAUCAUUUUGUAAGGUGAUAGCUCCGGAGGGUUGAACGUUCGUUACGGUGAAGGGUCCAGACCAACGGGAUUUUAGCUUUCCAGG
RNAcentral lists this long non-coding RNA (242 nucleotides) under Brassica rapa (field mustard). RNAcentral describes it as "long non-coding RNA (BRAP_LNC003589)". Lineage: Eukaryota; Viridiplantae; Streptophyta; Magnoliopsida; Brassicales; Brassicaceae. The record is from RNAcentral.